CUAUAUGUUAGUUCAUUGUGCAGAUUUUGUAUAUUGGUAGAUUAAAAUACAUACAGGUUAAUAAAUACUGAAAUGUGAUGCUUAAUAAAUAUUUGUAAUAGAGUUUACAUAUAUAAACUUACACAAAACGGCUUGUUUUACAGAUGCAUCUGGCGAUUCAUCAGGCGCUCUUGACAGUAAGCAAAUAAGUUAUACCUCUCUUUAUAAUAGUUAAUUUCAAAUUAUAAAAUAUAUAUAUUUUAACUGUACUGGUUCCUUGAUCCUGAUAAUGUAAAAUUACUGUAAAUAUAGAAACAUGCACAUGUAUCGCUGUGCGUUGUGUACAAUUCUUAAUUCACUUACAUGGAACACAUACAGGUAAAGGUGGAGAAAGCUUACAGGUUGUUCUCGACUAUUUCAAUAAUUGUAUUGUACCAGUGCUUACUACAUGAUCAUAUGCCUUCAGUUUGCAACAUGUAAUGGCUCGCUAUAAAACCUUCCAUGUUCCAUCAUUGUUUAUUGUAUUUUACUCUAUUUACUAGAUGUAAAUUGAAGGUUCAUUGUCCACCUCCCAACUUUUCAUUGAUUUGACUUCAUUAGCAUACCUUCUAUUUGGCAUAUAUUGGUUUUGUAAGAAAUAUGUAUAUCAUCCUUGGGUUCUAACAGGAGAUGAGAACAAUCAUCAAAGUGUUACCUUUUUAUUAUUAGUGAACUUUGUAAGUCUUACUGUUGUAUAGACAAUGUCCACAUGCUUAACAUAUUUAUAUAUUACAUUGAAUUUGAUUUUACAAAUCUAAUAUUACAUCAAAAUUAAACCAACUUUCUUUUUCUUUUUGCAGGAUUUUCCAUGCCCUGGACUCUUUGUUUACUUCUCAUGUCUCUAAUGUUUGUUAGCUUCAUGUAACAUUCUUACAGACCCUCUAAAGAAUACAGGCUGUGUCACGUUUCCACUAUUUAAAUUCUUUUGUAUAUUAGCUAUCUUAAUUCAGCUUAAUAAUUAUCAUUGCUUAAUUUACUAAAGACUUAAACAGUGCUGGGCUUUGUCCUGUCUCAGUAAGUAUGUCAAGCUGGACAUGAUUCUUUACAAAAAUUUGGAAUGUUUUAAAUGUUUAUCUAUGAGGUGCAUUUAUUUAUUUUACCUAUCCCUUUCUACUUAAAUAAUCUUCACAUUGUAUACAUUUCUUGUAUAUUUUCUAUCACAUAAUAAAUUGCAAACUAAUUAUACAUUGUCUUAUUUUGCUCAUUUUAACUUGUGUCUGUGUAUCAAAAGUUGAGGACAUCAGGUUCAUUAGUAGUGAAAUUGAUA
Pelobates cultripes (western spadefoot toad) is the source of this 1285-nucleotide non-coding RNA. The record is from the annotation of a GenBank genome assembly. Lineage: Eukaryota; Metazoa; Chordata; Amphibia; Anura; Pelobatidae.